AUUCAAGGCUGAGGGUCCUUGAGAGGGAAGAAAGGGGUGAAUGGUUUCCAGGUGACAUUUCUGCUUCCCCACACCCAUCCCCAGGAGGGUGAAAUUCCUCACAGGUCUCUGUGCGCUUUCAUGUGAAGCCUGCCGAGCCCUGGCCAGCAUUCCUCUGUCCAUCCUGUGGGUUGGGAGCUGGUGGAGAGGGGUCAUUAGCCCUUUUUCAGCUGUGUAAAGUGUGAGGGUAGGGCCCCAGCGGGGACCUGCUGAAAGCGGAUGUCCCUCCACUCCCAGCGGAGGGGCUUCGAGGGAGGAAAGCCCAUCUAGGUGGGUGUUCAGGGCUGCCUUACCCGCCCCUCGACUCGUGCCUGCAAUGCAAGCGGAUGCCUGUGACACAGACUGGAGGACCAGAGUGAUUCUGCCCCAUGCCAAACCCUUUCGCGAUGAUUGUCUCAUGUGACGCUUACAAUUCUGGGAGCCAGGCAGGACAGAUAGAGUGAUCAUCUCCAUUUUAUGGAUGAGGAAAUUGAUCCCCAAGAGUUGAAGUGACUUGCCCAAGGACAUGGUGAGUAAGGAGUCUGGACUUCCCGCAGGUUUGCUUGACUCUGAACUCCAGGUUCUGUCCAUGGCCCUGAGCUGCCAUUCCCCUGAGCUCCACACCCCACACCCCUCACCCCUCCAGAAGGAGCUAAGGGCAGAUUCUCCUCCCUUAUCCUCCAAGAAGUCAGGGGCUUCUUGCUCUGUUUGAAAUAAAAAGCAACUGCGUCUGCGCACCAGUGGCAGAGACGGACUUUGUACAAGCAUCGGGGUGAAAUGAACAUUCUUCAGGCAUGAGAUGUUACCUCUCCCCAUGUCUGGGUUAGGGUCCCCGCUUCAUGCUCUCACAACUCCUGAAUUUUGGCACCAUAACCCCAUCACACUGUACUGGAUUGGCUAGCAGGCUGGCUUACCAAUAGCCUAGAAUUUCCUUGACACGUCAAGAAAAAUCUCCCUGGUGCCCACUGGUCAAGCAUUUAGACUGUCCCCACCCACCUGCGUUCUGCAACAAGACCCCCUCUCCUGCAGGUGGCCUGCUCCCCCUGUACCUACCCAUCAGGUGAUGCCAGCCACCAAUGUGUCAGGAUAACCACACGGGCUUUCUUGGAGGCAGCAGUUUCAGUGAGGCAUUUUUUUGGUGUGUUUAUUAUACAAUUUUAACACCUAUAUUUUAAUUUUAGAAUAGUUUUAGAUGUACAGAAAAGUUGCAAAUAGAGAAUUCCCAUACACCCCUUACCCAAGUUUCUUCUAUUGUUAACAUCCUAUAUCACCAGAGUACAUUUGUCAUAGCUAAAAAACAAACAUUGGGCCAGGCACAGUGGCUCACACCUGUAAUCCCAGCACUUUGGGAGGUCCAAGGCGGGAGAAUUGCUUGAGCCCAGGAGUUUGAGACUAGCCUGGGCAACAGAGUGAGACUCUGUCUCUAUAAAAAAUUUAAAAAUUAGCUGGAUGUGGUGGCACAUGCCUGUAAUUUCAGCUACUCUGGAGGCUGAGACAGGAGAAUUACUUGAGCCCAGGAGUUUGAGGCUGCAGUGAGCUAUGAUCGUGCCACUGCUCUCCAGCCUGGGCAACAGAGUGAGACCCUUACUUAAAAAAAAAAAAAGUACACUACUCUUAACUAAACUCAACACAUGAUUUAGAUUUCACCAUUAUUUUUUUAAUGCCACGAGUAAUACAUUCUUGUAUGAGAUUCAACAGUGUAGUAAAAGAAACAGUAAAAUAUGACUCUCCCUUCAUUCCUUCCCCAAGGCCUCUCCUGCCCCAGGAGGAAUCCUUCUGCCUCCUCUCUGCAGGUACACCUUAUUCCUGCCACUUUCCCCCAGGCAGUGGGUCUCGAGCUGGUGGUCAGCACAUCCGCCUACCCUCAUGCUCUUGUGUCUUGAUGACAGCCCCCUCCCCUGCUGCAGUGAAUCCUCUCUUCCCUAAUCCCUGCCCAUCCUCUGUUCUCUCCUCCAGCCACACUUCCUCUGGGUAGCUUUGAGGAACUCCCAGCCUCCAGGGGCCCCCCUCUUCAGACUGUCUUUGUUUUGGUCUCCUUGACCCACAAACAGUUGGGGGUGAUGACAAUGCUCCCUGCCCCUCCUGUCCCUGUGAAGCUCCUAGGAUGCAGUAGGUACAUGGUAAUGGGCUGUGAAUGAAGUGAACCAGGGCUUCAGGAAAGGCGCCUGGCUGUAAUUGGCAGUGGGUAGUGCCUUCCAACACUGUGGUGGAGCAGGUAGGAAGGUGCGGAAGACUUGGUGUCUGCCCUCAGGGCCCCCCAUCCUGGGGAGGACACACCCACACAUGCUCGCCUGGCUCCUGGAUGGCUGUGGCCAGCAGAGCUCAGGCCAGGCCCAACUAUCUGUGCCCAAGGCUGGGGGUGGGACUGGGGUAGAGGGUUUCUGGACAAAGCCUCUGCCCUGCUCUGCUUGAUGUGGCUUUGCUCUUUUCUGCCAUGGCUAGGACUCACCCCCCAGCCAGAGAAGGAGGCCGUAUUCCAGCCUUUUCUGCCUCCUCCAUACCUCCUUCACAGCAAGUCCUAGAGGGCAACUUUGAGCUGUUGCCUCAGCAUCCUUCAUCAAAGCAUCAUCUGUUUCUCUCCUAGCCCCCUGGUGGGCGGCUGCCACCACCAGCAGCACCGAGAACUUAUCCCGGCCCCCUCCCCACCAGUGCCAGCUGGUCUCAGCCUGCACUUUGCCCAAGGUCCUGGGAAUGGGGCUGGGGUUGGAAGGGGGCCGAUGCCUGGGGUGGCAGCCUGUUCACCUGAGGAGCUGGUCCUCCUCACUCGCCAUGGGUCAGCUCAUCCAUCCCCUUGCCUCAGUGCUUGCCUGCCUCUGCCAAUCCCAGGAAAAGGAGAAGAUUCGGGUGAAGACAAUGGCUGCUACCACCAGCAACGUCUGUGCCUCUGAUUGCCAAGUCUCCUCCUGCCGCCUCACUGCCUCCCCAUGGCUGCCUGGGCCUUCAAGUCAGAAAGGACAGGGCAGGAAAAGGACUCUGGAGACAGGAGGAGUCCCAAGGUGUUGGGGGGUGGUGAUGGAGGGAGGCUGCUCAGGGAGGAAAGGAUAGUGGGGGUGAGCCUCAAGGUGUGUGCUCACGUGACCCUGGGAAGGUGUGUCUGUGUGUGUGUGUUUACAGGCUGAGGAGGGGCCAUGCCCCCCAGACCACCCUGGGCAGGUCUGCAGCAGGGGGCCAAAGCCCUGGGGGUCCCAGGUCUUUGGCUCCUAUGGGGCCCAAGCCCAGGAGAGGCUGUGGAGCUGGACAGCCGGGGGUGGGGGAUUGCAGCAUCAGGCUGGCUGCCGUGGCAUGAGAUGAAAGGCCAGGAGUGGGGCUGUUGGCAGACUGGCAGACGGACAGGCGGGGCCGGGUGGAGGCGUGGGGUGGGGGAGGGGAGAUAACCAUCUGCUAGAGCCGCCAGGUGUAGACAUGGUGGAGUGUGGGGGAUGCGGGUGGAGGGUUAGCCCUUGCCAUCAGGGGAAAGAGCCAGAAGCUGGAAGGGCUCCCUGUGAGGUCAUCUUGUCCAGCCUGAUGCCUUUGGGCCCUCGGCCCCAAACCAAGCAGGCCCUGCUUCUGGCACUUGGUGCUCCUCCCUGGCCCCAGCCCCCAGCCUGUCCUCCGCACUGCACCCAUCCCAGAGCAGUGCCCCAGAAGUCCAACCCAGAGUCCUCUCCGCACUUAAAGGCACAGCGCUCCAUAGAGAGGGUCCGCCAAGCCCGGCCUCCUCUUAGUCACUAACUGCUGGGGUAGCCCAGGACUGGGUUGGUCCCUAUCACCUUUCGUCUCCUUGAUUCCAAACCUCUCUUACUGUAGUUGUAUGAUUAUUUGUUGGUGCCUUGCCCCUAGCCCCAAACUUGGAGAGAAGGUUCUAGAAAGCAUGGAAAAAGCAUGAGCAAUGAAGCAAGCCGCUCCUAAACAGUGUGGGGUCCAGGACAAGAGUCUUGCUUCCUAAAUCUCUCUCUUAACCUCUUGUUGUCUUUCUGUACUCACACCUAAUUCUCUAGUCCAGGCUUCUAAUUUUCUCAUCCAGAAAUUACUUUGACAAUUCCCCUAAUAUGCCCCCCAGCCUCCUCACUGCCCUCUGAUCUGCUGCCUCAGUGGUCUGUCUAACACGAGAGUCUCACCAUGUCACUUCUCUGCUCAACACCCUUCAAAGCAGUACUGCUUCCAGAGCCAGCAAGAGGAAUCCCUGCCCCAGGCCCCUCAUGACAUGGAUAUGACACUGACGCUUCCUUUGCUGGAGAACCCAUGACAGCCUAGGUCAUGCAGGCUCUGGUACCAAGGGCUGCGGGGUGCAACCCACAGCUUCAAACUUCUGCUCUACACUUCUGUCACUACAGCCAUCGGGCCUCAGUCACAGGCUUCUUGCUCUAAGUGUUUGAAACAAAGAGCAACUGCGUCUGCGCGCCAUUGGUGGAGAUGGACUUUGUACAAGCGCCGGAGUGAAAUGAAAAAUGAAUGGGGAGCAUCAUAACUUCGGGUUUCCAGUCUGCCACAUAAGAAGCUUGGAAGUCACCGCUCCAUCCUAAUUACAAAAAACAGAAGUAACUGAAAGAAAAAAUACAUAUACUUGUUAGAUUAUUUCUUUCAAGUAGCGUACAUGCAAUAGAUUAUUAAUAUUUUAAAAACAUUCAAGAAUAAUUAAAUGGAUUCUUACAUAAACUCUCCUUGUAGUGUUGAGCAUCCUUGUCCUUAUUUCUUCUUUGUGAGUACAAGAGGUACUCAUAAAUCAGUGUAGCAUUCAAAUGAAUGCAUGUUGCAGAUGAGAAACACUUUGCUCUACUAAAUAAUUCAUAUAAUUUUUUUUGUUUUGAUACGGAGUCUUGCUCUGUUGCCC
Molecule: long non-coding RNA, 4828 nt
Filed under: Homo sapiens (human)
Lineage: Eukaryota; Metazoa; Chordata; Mammalia; Primates; Hominidae
Description: PREDICTED lncRNA (TCONS_00110921)
Source: RNAcentral